Molecule: ribosomal RNA, 434 nt
Filed under: Sinochauliodes maculosus
Lineage: Eukaryota; Metazoa; Arthropoda; Insecta; Megaloptera; Corydalidae
Description: partial large subunit ribosomal RNA
Rfam family: Bacterial large subunit ribosomal RNA (bases 313-434)
Source: RNAcentral
AAGGUAGCAUAAUCAUUAGUCUUUUAAUUGGAGGCUUGUAUGAAUGGUUGGAUGAGGUAUUAACUGUCUCAAUUUAAUAAAUAAUAGAAUUUUAUUUUUAAGUUAAAAAGCUUAAAUAUUAUUAAAAGACGAGAAGACCCUAUAGAUCUUUAUAAUUAGAUUUAUAAUAAUUUUUUGGAUUAAAUUUAUUUUUAUAGAAAUAAUUAUUAUAUUGGGGUGAUAAAAAAAUUUGUUAAACUUUUUUUUAAUAUAAACAAUAAUAUUUGAUUAGUUGAUCCAUUUUUUGUGAUUAUAAGAUUAAGUUACCUUAGGGAUAACAGCGUAAUUUUUUUGGAGAGUUCUUAUCGAUAAAAAAGAUUGCGACCUCGAUGUUGAAUUAAAGGUUAAUUUUAGGUGUAGAAGUUUAAAAUUUUGGUCUGUUCGACCAUUAAAUC